This is a long non-coding RNA of Bactrocera neohumeralis, 838 nucleotides long. RefSeq lists it as uncharacterized. The record is from RefSeq and is a predicted model, not a curated record. Lineage: Eukaryota; Metazoa; Arthropoda; Insecta; Diptera; Tephritidae. The transcript is spliced from 3 exons.
GGAAAGUUUCUUUACAACUCUUUUACAGCUAGAAUUCUAAUUGGGUCGACUAUAGUUUGGUACCCAUUUGUUUUUAUACAUAUGUACAAGUACAAGUCAGACUCAUAUCGGAAGGUCCGUCAAGGAAACAACAGCUUUUUGGAUACAAAUGAUGUAGUGAAAUGCUGCUUAGCUUCGGAUAUUUCUGAGAGGUGGCUCUGUUGCUGAAAAAUAUUAGCAGUUAGUGUUUCUAUUCGUAGGGAUUAUUCAUCAAUUCGAAGGAUUAUCUAAUUGUUUACUGACCACAGAUUUGGAAUGUAUUGAAUCAAAGUAAAAUUUUUGAGUAAAGCUGAUGUAGCCUAAGCAGGCCAGACCAUUGAGAUGGUGUAGAGAACUAAAAAGAAAAAUUCGGACUUUGAGGAUUGAGUCUAUGAAAAUAUUUGUAUGAGUAAUUUUUAAUUGAAAGAGUGUAAAAACACAAGAAGAACAAUAAAACACCACCAACCUGUUGAAAAUGAUAGGGACGUUGAUAUUCAAAUUCCUGAACUUAGUGGAAGUGAGAAUCAAAAUGAUUUCAAGGCAUAGUUUACUGGGUACUGCCUCUUUCUCGCACGCACACACAAAAACAAACAAGAACAGAAAAACUUCGAUCAGCAAAUGGACAGAGGGAUCUAAGAGGUUCGGCGGAGCUCGAUGUCAGUUCUAUUUUAAUUCAAAUUACAUAAAUAUAUUUCACCAAUAAACCUCUCAGUUCCCAUGAAUAAUGUAUUUUCUUCGUCAACUUCAAACCGAUUUACAUAAUUUCACCUAUGUUUUAUGUAUUUAAUACAUUAAUGCUAAUAAAAUUUGCCCCAACACA